Long non-coding RNA from Talpa occidentalis (Iberian mole), 406 nucleotides. RefSeq lists it as uncharacterized. The transcript is spliced from 3 exons. NCBI's taxonomy places the organism in Eukaryota, Metazoa, Chordata, Mammalia, Eulipotyphla, Talpidae. The record is from RefSeq and is a predicted model, not a curated record.
AUGCCAAGAUAAGUGCUAUGCCAACUUGGACUUUAAUAUCUUUCCACAUUGGAACAUCAAAGUUAGCUCUGGUUAAUUACUUCCACAACUACAAAAAUAUUUCCCUUCCUUAAAACUCAUCAGAAAGUCAUAAUAGAGAAAUAUAGCCAGAAAGAUGACUUAGAGAAGAAGAAAAGAUGCCCUUGGGGAAGGACGAGUAAAGUUGCUUCUUUCUGUUUGUUUGGAGAGUUACAUGGGAUUCCUGAAACAGGGCCUCUGGUGAUGACUGCUAGGCAGGUGCAGAUGAACAUGAAGUAAUGUGCAUAUAUAAGCACAUUUUGAUAACUGAAAGCUUUCAUGUGCUCAACUAAAGUUCAAACAACUUGGAAUGAAGAGGCGGAACCAGCAAGUUCUCAAAAUGCUGCUG